AUUUUUUUUUUGUUAGUAUGUUUUCAUCUUAGAAUUUUCUUUGCUGUAACUCUUUUCUUAUCCAGAAAUGUUCUUAGUCUCUGAUUAUCCCAUGAACGACUGGUGUUCUUUCCUGCCAUUCAGAUCUUACCUUAAAUUGUCACUUCUACCAAGAAGCUUUCCUGACAACACAAUCUAAAGAAUCUGUUUCGGACUUCCUCCAUAACAUCUCUAAUUUUCAGCAUGGGAUCCAUCUGACAUUUCUUCCCUCUUUCCAUUCUUUCUUCACUUCCUCCUUUCUGCCCACCUUUCCUGAUAGAUUUCAAGUUCCAUGAGAGUUAGAACCUUGACUGUCUGAUGUCCUAUGGUAGCUUCAGCACAGAGGAGAGUAAGUGAUUCUUAAUAUUCCUCAGUAAAUAUUUUAAUUAAAUUAUAAAUAGAUGGAUAUUUGCUGCAUUAACAAUUACUUCUUAAAUGUGCUUGUUUUGUUGCCGAGCUUUUAACUUUUUUUUUGUUUGUUUGUUUUUUGCACUGUAUCAAAGAGGAGCCAUUGAAGAAUACUGUUGUCCUAUCCCAGAAGGAGCAAGCGGACAACACUGAUAUCCUGACCACUAACCAUCCAGCACCACUUAAAGAGGUCCCAAAACCCCCGGCUGUCUACCAAUACCCAUCUGUGACCUCUUAGGAACCGAGCUUCACAGCAGGAGGUGAAUGGUGGACAAGCGAGCAUUAUCGCCUCAGCUCCACCUCCUGUCAGUUUUAAAAAGAAUAACAGAAAGAAAGAAGUGGCUGAAACCUAAAUGCCAUAUGGAGAAGACAGCUAAUUGGUAAGAAAAUAAUUUUUAUUUCCAGUUUUGAAUGGGUAAUAAAAACAACUGAGAGGAAGGAAAAAUAACAUUAUACAGUAGGUGGUGGCAGUUUCCUCUGAAGUAAUCAUGCAUUAAAGUAUAAAGUUGUACAUAGCUUGGAGAAGUGUGCUGCUUCUCAGAUACUCAAUUGGUUAAAGGCAAACAAGCUAGUAUAAAGUGGUUGAGUACAAAGAUGUCAUUUCCUCCUCCCAUCAAAUUAAAGAGGGUUGUAAAGUUUUUCUGUGUGUGACACAAACAGUGGUGUGCUUUACCUACUGCCAGCUUGGAUCACUGUGAUAGGACUUGCUGGUAAACAUCACUGCAUCAUGGAUUUAAAGAGGUGUCACCUCUUUUUCAUUUGGCUGGAAGAUGAUAAUUAGCAGACAAGUGUCUCCUGAUACUCAUAGGAGGGAGCAAAACAGGAAAUCAAAGGCUUCCUACUCUGCAAAUAAUUGUUUGCAAAUGCCUGGGUCUGUCAGGAUUCCAGAAGAUAGUGAACAUUUCUCAGCUGGCGAAGCACUGCCUUUUUGACUCUGAUGUCUGCAUCUUAUCAUAGUGUGCAAAUUAUUUAGCAACUGCCACAUUAUUUAUAGGUAUGAAUUGAACAAAUUAAUCUCAUAAAUAAUUCAUUUGGGGGGCUGUGAAUUAGCAGGGCACCACAGUAAAAUAAAAAUCUACUUUUACAAAGCUGAUAUCAAUUGUCAUUGUGAGUUAGAUUCAAUCUUUUUUCAAACAACAUUUUAGCAUACUGCAUGUGGCCUUUUUAAGGUUUAGAACCAAGACUGUGCAGAUGAGGUGAAUACAAGUAUCUAGACAAUCUGUUGGAGUGCUCUAAAAAUAAUAAAAGGAAUAUAAGUGCGGAAUUCUGGUGUGAAUUAUCCAGAUAAUUGCUGCACUUUUUCAAUUCACCUUGGGUGCAUAGUUUUUUAAAAACUGUCUUUUUCCUUAAUGAGAGUUCUGAAAUAUAGAGACUUAUAAGAUGAAAUAGUUUGAUACAGAAGAAAGUAGGUCUUGUCCUAACAGAGCAGCAGGCUGUCAAACUAUUUCAUCAAUCAAAAAACCAAGAACAGGCCUUAGAUACCCCACAAUUUUUAAAACUGGAAACAGUGGGAAAAAUUUUACUUCCCUACAGUGAGACAUAAGAAUGUCAAUGUGGACCUGAGAGAAAGACAGUCGCAAGUUUGUUUGCUAGUAGACUCCUAGGGAGCUGAACACAAAAAUCCCAUAAAUAAUUAGCUCUCCUGUGACAGGCUUCUGAAUUACUGUGAUACAUUAAUUGGACAAAAUUAGCAUGAAUUAAGGCAAAUAACUAUAACAUGUAAUUUAUUACUUACUAAGCAUGGUGCUGCAGUGGAAGCUUCGGAUUUCCCUUAAGAUUGCUUUAACAGCUAUAAUGCAUUCCUUAAUUUACUCUGUGGAAAAUCAAUUUUUUCAGAGUUCAUUAAGCACCAAUAUGUUACAAUGCAGCUCUCUAGAGCAUAGAGCCUCAAUACAUUAUGCAAAUCCAUGCCAGUGUGGCACCAAUAUGUAAAUAGAAGUAAUGUUAUUGUCAGUUUCCUAUUGAUAAGUCUGAUGAGAAUGAGAAUACCUAGAACUUCUUGAAUUUGUUGACUUAUUUUGUGUGGUUGGGGCUGUUGCAUGCUGUCCUUCACUGAAUAUAAUGCCAAUAUUUCUUGCAAGGUAUAGCAAGGCUUUCAUCAAUGACUGGAAACAGUGUCAUUUCCAUUUAAUUCCAUGCCUUCUUGUCUAUGCUAACCAACCAAUCAACAAGUGUUUAUUAAGUAUAUAUUAUGGGCCUAGUGGAGUCCCUUCUGCAUUUUAAGUGAUAAUAAGCUUUAUUUACCUAAUUUGAUCCACAGAAAUAAUUUAGGUCAUCAAAGCUGCAAUUUCAUGGAAAUACAUCUCAAUUCCCCAUUUCACUUGGCAUCAAUUGACUUAGGUCAUAUUAACAAAAAAAAUAACAUGUGGUUCAAUUGAAAAUAAUUUUGUAAAAAGCAGUACGUUCAAGAAAAGUAUAAUUGAAGCAAUUUGUUUGGCUUUAAGACUUAGUAGAAGAACUAUUAUUAUAAAAACUAAUAUCCACAAUAUCUGAUUUUUCAAGUUGGUGAUUUUGUUUUCCCAAUAAAUAGCAAUUCUGUAAUCCUUAUGACUUAUUUUUUAAAUGUUUCUUUUAGUUUCUAAUUAAUUUUCCACUAUUUAUUUUUUCUCUGGGUUAUUUAUACCAUUAAAAAAUCAAUUAAGUCUCAAUGUUCAGAAAUAAUAGAAUGCUAUGGACUGAAUUUUAUCUCCCCCAAAUUCAUAUGUUGAAGCCCUAAUCCCCAGUGUGAUAGUAUUGGGGAUGAGGACUUGGGGAGGUAAUUAGGUUUAGAUGAGAUCAUGAGGGUGAGGACAUGAUGAUGGAAUUAGUGCUCUUAUGAGAAGAGAUACCAGAAACAUGCUCACACACUCUCCCUCCCCACCAUGUGAGGAUACAGGGAGAAAGCACUUAUCUGCAAGCCAGGAAGUGAACCCUUGCCAAAGCCCAACCAUGCAGGCACCCUGAUCUCAAACUUUCAGACUCCAGAACUGUGAGGAAUAAGUUUGUGUUAUUUAAGCCAUCCAGUUUAUGGUACUUUGUUAAGGCAGCCUAAGAUGGCUAAGACAUUGGGUAACAGUUGGAAUAAUAUAAAUGUGUACAAUUUGGUUGCUUGCAUAUAAAAAUUAUGUUGAUUUAUAAAAUAUUAGGUAGAAUAUGAUUCCUUUUUUUGGUUCCAAAAUACUCUUUCUAUAUUAUAUAUAUAACAUGUAUAUAAAAUAUAUAAAUAUAUUUGUAUAUAUAAAUAUAUAAUAUAUAAUACAUAAAUAUUAUCAUUUAUAGAAUACAAAAAUAUAUAAUGUAUACAAAUAUAUUAUAUAUGAUGUAUUAUUUAUAUUAUAUAAUAUAUAUCAUAUAAUAUAUAAAUGUGUAAUAUAUAAAAAAUAUAAUAUAUAAAAUAUAAUAUAAGUACAUAUUAUAUAUACAUUUAUGGAAGAUGGAGGAUAUAUAUCUAGAAGUUAUCUGCAAUGAAUACUUUCAUUUCCUGCAAUAAAUAAGAGCUAAAUAUUAUUUAAAUGAAAGGAAUUAUAUAGGACCAUACGGAAUUAUUUUCCCUACUGAUUCUAUUUCUUCUUUCUUCCCUGCUUACUUGGUUCUAGCCACACUCUCCUCUUUGGUCUUUCCUGGUACGCAGCAUACAAGCCCACAGAUUGAGGACUCUGCACUUGCUGUUCUCUCUGCCUGGAGCUCUAUGGCUCCAGAUAGACUCCUGCCAACUCCUUCGCCUUGUCCAAGUUACCUUCAUUAAAUGUCAGCUUAAAUGUGUGCCUACUUUUUGCCCUACCUAGAAUUGCAAGCACCUCUCACCACUGUGCUCCCAUUCUCCUUAACUUAAGCCACUUUUAUUCUCAUAAUAAAGCCACAUAUUUUUUCUUAUUAUAUCAUAAUCGUACUGUAUAAUUUAUAUUUUAUUACUUUUGUUUGUAUACUUAUUGUAUGUUUCUGUUCACAAGGAUGUAAACCCCAUGAACACAGAGAUCUUUGAUUGUUUUAUUCACUGAUUUAUGCCAAAUGUUUGGAACAAUGCCUGGCACAUAGUAGAUGUUUGAUAAUUUUUUUUUUUUCUGAAUGAAUAAAUACAUUUUAGC
This 4490-nucleotide long non-coding RNA is filed under the name Homo sapiens (human). Its description in RNAcentral is "HSALNT0342863". The record is from RNAcentral. Lineage: Eukaryota; Metazoa; Chordata; Mammalia; Primates; Hominidae.